UCAUCGAGACCGGACGAGACGCGUUUUCAUCUCCAAUUGGCCGUCGUCUCGUCGUCGUCGGUCAUCGCCAAACGUUUUUCAAACGGUCGCUGUUAUCUCGGCUGUUUCGUAUGUACGAAUGAUAGUCGUCGACGUAUGCAUUACGAUAUUAUAAUAUUUAUGCUACAAAUAAUGAUAAUAAUAAUAGGGUAUAUUUUUUCGACCGCUGUAGUGACGGCUAUGCAGUCGUGAAAGUUUCGGACGCGUCGAGUGCGCCAUGCGACAGGGCCACAACGUUCUGUUUUCGAUGUCAAUUCUGAUUACAGAUGAUAAAAGUCGGCUUGCAGCAUCGGACGCGCGUUAUUACGCGAGUUAUAUUACAUAUAUAUGUAUAUAAAUAUUUAAUACACGAUUUUACAUCUCUACACCGGCUACCAGAAAGCGCGUAAUGAUGAGAAAAAGCAAUAAAAAUAAACGUGAAAAAAUAUUCGUUAAAAAAAUUUGUUUCCAGACGGCUUGUAUUGUACGAUCGCGCAUUUAAUCAUUCGCAUUACAACUACACACAUUAUAUUAUAUAUAUACAGUGUGAUAUAAUAUAAUAACGUUUUGACCGCA
Molecule: long non-coding RNA, 594 nt
Organism: Aphis gossypii (cotton aphid)
Lineage: Eukaryota; Metazoa; Arthropoda; Insecta; Hemiptera; Aphididae
Exons: 2
Source: RefSeq, a predicted model, not a curated record